GACGAACGCUGGCGGCGUGCUUAACACAUGCAAGUCGAACGGAAAGGCCCUGCUUUUGUGGGGUGCUCGAGUGGCGAACGGGUGAGUAACACGUGAGUAACCUGCCCUUGACUUUGGGAUAACUUCAGGAAACUGGGGCUAAUACCGGAUAGGAGCUCCUGCUGCAUGGUGGGGGUUGGAAAGUUUCGGCGGUUGGGGAUGGACUCGCGGCUUAUCAGCUUGUUGGUGAGGUAGUGGCUUACCAAGGCUUUGACGGGUAGCCGGCCUGAGAGGGUGACCGGCCACAUUGGGACUGAGAUACGGCCCAGACUCCUACGGGAGGCAGCAGUGGGGAAUAUGGCACAAUGGGCGGAAGCCUGAUGCAGCAACGCCGCGUGCGGGAUGACGGCCUUCGGGUUGUAAACCGCUUUCGCCGGUGACGAAGCGUGAGUGACGGUAAUGGGUAAAGAAGCACCGGCUAACUACGUG
This 468-nucleotide ribosomal RNA is filed under the name uncultured bacterium. RNAcentral describes it as "partial 16S ribosomal RNA". It matches the Rfam family "Bacterial small subunit ribosomal RNA", at positions 28 to 507 of the family's 1533-position model. The record is from RNAcentral.